RNAcentral lists this ribosomal RNA (497 nucleotides) under uncultured bacterium. RNAcentral describes it as "partial 16S ribosomal RNA". It matches the Rfam family "Bacterial small subunit ribosomal RNA", at positions 28 to 507 of the family's 1533-position model. The record is from RNAcentral.
GAUGAACGCUGGCGGCGUGCCUAAUACAUGCAAGUCGAGCGAACGGACGAGAAGCUUGCUUCUCUGAUGUUAGCGGCGGACGGGUGAGUAACACGUGUAUAACCUACCUAUAAGACUGGGAUAACUUCGGGAAACCGGAGCUAAUACCGGAUAAUAUUUUGAACCGCAUGGUUCAAAAGUGAAAGACGGUCUUGCUGUCACUUAUAGAUGGAUCCGCGCUGCAUUAGCUAGUUGGUAAGGUAACGGCUUACCAAGGCAACGAUGCAUAGCCGACCUGAGAGGGUGAUCGGCCACACUGGAACUGAGACACGGUCCAGACGCCUACGGGAGGCAGCAGUAGGGAAUCUUCCGCAAUGGGCGAGAGCCUGACGGAGCAACGCCACGUGAGUGAUGAAGGUCUUCGGAUCGUAAAACUCUGUUAUUAGGGAAGAACAUAUGUGUAAGUAACUGUGCACAUCUUGACGGUACCUAAUCAGAAAGCCACGGCUAACUACGUG